UCUACGUGUUACCCAGGUACAAGGCCCCAUCGAUACAGAAAGCAAUGGCAUAGUUCAAGGGCAUGGAAUAAAUUCAAGGUGACCAUUACUGCCGCACAUUCCGUAGCUAUUGUGAUAUUUAUUGGUACAUAGUUUGACAACCCGCAUUGACUGAUUCCUCUAUGAUGCAAAAAUAGGGUUGUCCUUUAGAAACUGAAAUUUCGGAUUGGGAUGAGAAUGCUUUCAUAUAUAUGCUCAGCCCCUUGACCUGUUUUUUUAGAAUUUUCACAAUGUUUUGACAGUAUUCAACUAGGUCAUGAACUGUUUAUCAUGAUUAUUAUUUAUUUGUUUACACCUGCAUCAUAAAAGAUAAGAAGAGCUUCAAGUGCAAGAUAAGUGAUAAUACUCAAGAACUUACAAAAAAAAAUAUAAAGAAAUCAUAAACUAUAUAUAUCUUAAAAGUAUAUCAAAAAUAAAAAUCCUAAUUGAACCCUAAUCAAAUCCUAAUGUAAUCUUCAACAAAUUCUAAUAAAACUCUAAAUCAAUCUCAAUCUAAUCUUAAUAAAAUCCUAAAUUAUAAAUAAAUCCUAAUCAAAUCUUAAAAAAUCUUAAUCAAAUUCUAGACAAAUUCUAAAUCUUAACCUUAAUCUAAAUCUUAAUCAAACUCUAAAUCCUAAUCUUCUACUAAACCCCAAUGAAAUCCUAAAUUCUAAACAAAUCCUAUCAAAUCCUAAAUAAAUUUUAAUUAAAAUUUAAAUAAACCUUAAUCAAAUCUUAGA
RNAcentral lists this long non-coding RNA (758 nucleotides) under Physcomitrium patens. RNAcentral describes it as "long non-coding RNA (PPAT_LNC013561)". Lineage: Eukaryota; Viridiplantae; Streptophyta; Bryopsida; Funariales; Funariaceae. The record is from RNAcentral.